Molecule: ribosomal RNA, 727 nt
Filed under: uncultured bacterium
Lineage: Bacteria
Description: bacterial SSU rRNA
Rfam family: Bacterial small subunit ribosomal RNA
Source: RNAcentral
AGAGUUUGAUCAUGGCUCAGAACGAACGCUGGCGGCGUGCCUAACACAUGCAAGUCGAACGCGCUGGGGUAACUCAGCGAGUGGCGCACGGGUGAGUAACACGUGGGUAAUCUACCUUAUGGUGUGGAAUAACAUUCCGAAAGGAGUGCUAAUACCGCAUAUGGUUCUCGGACGAUGGUCUGAUAACUAAAGGGGGCGUCCGUUAGGAGCUCUCGCCAUUUGAUGAGCCCGCGUCCCAUUAGCUAGUUGGUAAGGUAACGGCUUACCAAGGCGACGAUGGGUAGCUGGUCUGAGAGGACGACCAGCCACACUGGAACUGACACACGGUCCAGACUCCUACGGGAGGCAGCAGUGGGGAAUAUUGCGCAAUGGAGGAAACUCUGACGCAGCGACGCCGCGUGGGUGAUGAAGGCCUUCGGGUUGUAAAGCCCUGUCGGUUGGGAAAAAGGUUAUUGCAUUAACACUGCAGUAAUUUGAUUGUACCAGCAAAGGAAGCACCGGCUAACUCUGUGCCAGCAGCCGCGGUAAUACAGAGGGUGCAAGCGUUGUUCGGAAUUACUGGGCGUAAAGGGUGAGUAGGCGGCUUUGUAAGUCAGACGUGAAAGCCUGGGGCUUAACCCCAGAAUUGCAUUUGAAACUACAAGGCUUGAGUAGAGUAGAGGCAAGCGGAAUUCCAAGUGUAGAGGUGAAAUUCGUAGAUAUUUGGAGGAACACCAGUGGCGAAGGC